AUGUUGGUCCUAAGAGCCAGGGGUGAAGAGGGGCUGGCUCUCUGUCCCCUCGUCGCGGGGGUUGCUUCCCCCCCUGCGAUGGAGGUCCCAAGAGCCAAGGGGGGAAGAGGGGCUGGCUCUCAGUCCCUGCCUCGCGGGGGUGCCUCCCGCCCUGGGAUGGGGAUCCAAAGAGCCAGGGGGGUAAAAAGGGCUGGCUCUCAGUCCCCGCCUCACAGAGGGUGCCUCCCCCCCCCGCGAUGGGAGUCCCAAGAAUCAGGGGGCGAAGAGAGGCUGGCUCUCAGCCACCACAAAAUGGGGGGCCUUUAUGUUCAGGUUUUGCCCAAGAGUCAGCUCAUUUGCUUCUUGUACUAGCAGGGGAGUUGCUGCCAAGGCCCUCAAACAGGGGGGCCAUCCUUUAGAAACCCUGUCUAGUUGUUCAGAGACAUAGGCCACCGGCCUCAUCCAAGGCCCCACAGUUUGGGUUAAAAGUCCACCUGCCAUCUUUUCUCUCUCUGACGCAUACAAUGGAAAAGGUUUUGUCAGAUCGGGUAACCCCAGGGCUGAAGCUGCCAGAAGUUUUUCCUUUAACUCAUGAAAGACUUGCUGUUGUUAGGAUCCCCAUUCCAAAGGUUCCCGGUCCCCGCCCCCUUUGUGACCUCAUACAAAGGCUUGGCUUAUAUUGCAAAGUUUGGGAUCCACAGUCUACAAAACCCCACAGCUCCUGAGAAUUCUCUCGCCUGCCUUUGGCCCUUAGGCUCUGGUAGAUUGCAAAUAACAUGCUUUCUUUCUGUUCCCGGGUGGCUUCGGACCCCUGUCGGAUCGGAAAUCCCAAGGAGGCGUCGGACCCCGUCCGAUAGUAAAUCCCAAGUAAGGUACCUGCCGUCGGCAGAUUUGAGCUUUCUGCCUGGACACCUAAUACCCACAGUCCUCCAGGCUCUGGUAGAUUGCAAAUAACCUGCUUUCUUUCUGUUCCCGGGCGGCGUGGGACCCCUGUCGGAUAGUCAAUCCCAAUUAAGGUACCCGCCGUCGGCAGAUUUGAGCUUUCUUCUUGGACACCUAAUACCCACAGUCCUCCAGGCUCUGGUAGAUUGCAAAUGACCUGCUUACUUUCUGUUCCCGGGCUGCGUUCUGACACCUGUUGGACAGUAAAUCCCAAGUAAGGUACCUGCCUUCGGCAGAUUUGAGCUUUCUUCUUGGACACCUAUACCCACAGUCCUCCAGGAGGGUCCUAAGGCUCCGGUAGAUUGCAAAUAACCUGCUUUCUUUCUGUUCCCGGGCUGAGUUCGGACCCCUGUCGGAGAGUAAAUCCCAAGUAAGGUACCUGCCGUCAGCAGAUUUGAGCUUUCUUCUUGGACACCUAAUACCCACAGUCCUCCAAUGUUUUAGACGCCCAGUUGCACAACUUGAUUGCCUUACAAAUGACCUGCUUCCAGGAUGCGGAAAUUCCUAAUUUCUUCUGUGACCCUUCUCAACUCCCCCAUCUUGCAUGUUGUGACACCUUCACCAAUAACAUAAUCAUGUAUUUCCCUGCUGUCAUAUUUGGUUUUCUUCCCAUCUCUGGGACCCUUUUCUCUUACUAUAAAAUUGUUUCCUCCAUUCUGAGUGUUUCAUCAUCACGUGGGCAGUAUAAGGCCUUCUCCACCUGUGGGUCUCACCUGUCAGUUGUUUGCUGAUUUUACGGAACGGGCGUUGGAGGGUACUUCAGUUCAGAUGUGUCAUCUUCCCCGAGAAAGGCUGCAGUGGCCUCAGUGAUGUACACGGUGAUCACCCCAUGCUGAACCCCUUCAUCUACAGCCUGAGAAACAGGCAUAUUAAAAGUGUCCUGCGGCGGCCGCACAGCAGCACCGUCCAAUCUCCGUGUCUUCUUAACUGUUCCAUUCCUUUUGUAGUGUGGGUUAACAAAGGCAGCAAGGUCAAAUAAGAAUGAUAUCACAGGGUGAACACCCAAAGUGAUAUUAGGAGUAAUACUCCCUAGGAUAUAGAAUAUACUGUCACAGAGUACACACAGAUGGGGUACACCCACUGUCAUAUUAGAAGCAAUAUCUCCCUAACGUAUGAGGAAAAAUAUCACAGGGUGUGCACACUGUGUGAUAUGAGGAGUAAUAUUUACCCUGGAUAUUACGACUAAUAUCAAGGGUGUACACACACGGGGUACACGCACUGUGAUAUCAGGAUUUGUAUCUCCCUAGGAUAUUACGAAUACUAUCACAGGGUAUAUACUAUGUGUGUACAUCCACUGUGAUAUUUGAAGUAAUAUCUCUCUAUGAGAUUGCAAAUAACAUCAAAGCGUGUACACCCCUGUGUGUACACAUUAGGAGUAACAUCCUUCUAGGGUAUUACAGAUAAUGUCACAGCGUGUACACCUCUGUGACGUUUUGUACACACUUUGUGACAUUAAAAGAAACAUCCCCCUAGGAUAUUGUGAAUAAUAACACAGGAGGGGUACACACAUGGUGUACACCGCCUGUGUCAUCAGGAGUAACAUUCCCCUAGGAUAUUAUAAAUAAUAUCACAGCAG
RNAcentral lists this long non-coding RNA (2497 nucleotides) under Homo sapiens (human). Its description in RNAcentral is "HSALNT0373792". Lineage: Eukaryota; Metazoa; Chordata; Mammalia; Primates; Hominidae. The record is from RNAcentral.